CGCGAACGUUGGCGGCGUGCCUAACACAUGCAAGUCGUGGGGCAGCAGGCUACUGUCUUUUGGCAGUAGUGCUGGCGACCGGCAAACGGGUGAGUAACACGUAGCUUACCUACCCAUAGGUUGGGGAUAACAUUCCGAAAGGGGUGCUAAUACCCAAUAAUGAGGAGACUCCAAAGCCCUUAUGGGUGCCUAUGGAUGGGGCUGCGUCCCAUCAGCUAGUUGGUGAGGUAAUGGCUCACCAAGGCUACGACGGGUAACCGGUCUGAGAGGAUGACCGGUCACAGUGGGACUGAGACACGGCCCGCACCCCUACGGGGGGCAGCAGUGGGGAAUAUUGGGCAAUGGCCGAAAGGCUGACCCAGCAACGCCGCGUGGUGGAUGAAGCCCUUCGGGGUGUAAACACCUUUUCUGGGGGAAGAUAAUGACGGUACCCCAGGAAUAAGGGACGGCUAACUACGUGCCAGCAGCCGCGGUAAUACGUAG
Molecule: ribosomal RNA, 483 nt
Filed under: uncultured Sulfurihydrogenibium sp.
Lineage: Bacteria; Pseudomonadati; Aquificota; Aquificia; Aquificales; Hydrogenothermaceae
Description: bacterial SSU rRNA
Rfam family: Bacterial small subunit ribosomal RNA
Source: RNAcentral